GGACAAGUUCAAAACAGUCCCCAGCGAGACCUUGUAGGACAGGCAUAACGCCCGGGCUCCUGUUCCUUGCACCCAUCUUCUCUUUUUCUUACUCUUCCUUCACACAAGUACCGUGGCAGCAACACACCAAAAAAAUGAGUUUGAACCCGCAGUUCCAGCAGAUCGGAGAGACCUUCGUCAAGCAGUACUAUGCUAUCUUUGAUGGCGAGAGAGAUGGGAGGGAAAAGCUGGUCAACUUUUAUCACGCGGAGCUCUCGUUAAUGUCAUUUGAGGGAGUUCAGGUACAAGGAGCAGCUCAGAUUUUGGAAAAAAUUAAGAAUUUGACAUUCACCAAAAUUGCUCGAGCUAUCACAACUGUGGAUUGCCAGCCCACCUUUGAUGGAGGUGUUUUAAUUAACAUUCUUGGGCAACUUAAGAUGGAUGACGACCCUCCACAUGGGUUCAAUCAAACGUUUAUGCUCAAGCCACUCGGUGACAGUUUCUUCGUUCAACACGACAUGUUUCGCUUGGCACUCCACCAUAUUGUCGUAUGAGUGGAGUCCGCAGGGGUCAAGCUCAGAGGGGGCACAGCUCUCAUUAUCAAGUCUGCUUCACCACCUUAUUAUGGAUGAGGACCCAGUGCAUGGAUUCUCUCAGACGUUUGUUCUCAAGCCCAUGAGUGAUUCCUUCUUCAUCCAACACGACUCUUUCCGUCUUGUCAUUCAUAAUCACUAGACCAUUGCUUGUUUGUAAGUCACACGACCAUCAGUGUCAGCGUAUGAAUCAUCCUCCCCAACUACAGCCACUCAAUCAAAUUAAGUUAUAGCAAUGUCUGCAUCUGUGACACACAAGUACGAGUCAGAAUUAUAGUGUGUAGGAUCCUACUUUGUGAUGAGAUAAUUUAGCAUGUACAAAACACACUCUAAGACUCUUAAGGGUGUGCAAUGUAAACUUAAGAAUGUACAUUGAGGAAGAUUCAAUGUAUUCAUAAGGAAAGAGGUAGGGAAUUAUGCAUUUUAAGUGUGAAAUUGACUUUCAAGUAACUGUUGUCUCAGCUAACUUGAGAAAUAUCGUUGAUAUGUGGCAAUAUUUUCAUUGAAUGAAGGAAAAUAACGAAAGCCGUAUUUGAUCUAUGAAUUGUUGUCAAAGGUUAGCUGCUGGUGUUGCAAGAAGUAACUACAAGGAAAUCACAUCGUGGAUAUUAUAACUAUGAACUUAUACGCUUAAAUAAUGUCCCACAGAGGGGAACUUAUUGCUUUUGUUAUAUGGUGCAGAUGUAAGUUGGGAACAGCUGACCAAGAUACAUAUUGGUGGCAUAUUCUUAGUUGUUUCAGUGAUAAUGUUAGUUUGGCUUGAUAUGCUGCUUCUAAGUUCUCAUAAAAUUUGUAACACUAGGGAUAAUGCCACUCUAGGCUAAGGAUUGCCAUUGUUGAUUUUUUUUUUUUUUUUUUUUUUUUUUUUUUUUUUUAAAUGCCACACUUGAAAAGGUUGUACUGUACCCAGAUUCUUGUUGGAGAGAAAAGUAUGAACCUCUGAAUGGUUAUGGUUACAGGUUCAAGGUGGCUAAUCUCAUCAGUACUAAUGUCUCAACACAACCUAUUUGCCUUGUUGAUAGUAAUAGAUAAGUCCAUCAGGCUAAUGAAUAGCUGGGAUGUUAUUACUCUAAAGUGAUUAUAAACAUUGUUUUGAGCUUGUCCUUUUCCGUGAUAGAUGUUACAUACAUAAAUUUUUGGCCUUGGAUGUAUGUUACAGUUAAUUGGUACCACUGCUGCCCCACAGAUUGCUCAUUUGCCAGUUUUAUCAAACUUUUAAGGUUUAAUGCUUCAGCAGUGCUACACAUGUUAAUAAUUAAUAUGAAUUGGGUUGAUCACCUUUAUUUUAUUUAUUAUAAUUUUUUUUUAUUAAGGAAUAGCCUCUUGGUUAUAACUUGUGAUUCGGUUUACUAAUUGGCUAAAACCAUAAAAUGUUUGUAAAUGUAAGGGUAGUGUUUUAGCUCCUAUGUACAUGUGAGACAAAACUGCUAUUAUGAUGCAUCCAGGUCAUCCUGAGGGUGGGUAGGUGGUCACAUGAACAUGAAUUGAUGGCUGUAGAUUUGGAUGUUGUUGUUAACUUCAUUUGUGUUGGUUCAUUAACAACAGCUCUUGAGAAUACAUUUCCAUUGAUUUGAUAGAUUUUUGUGUGUGUGCAUCAAAAUGAAGCAGGUUCAUAUAAUUUGUUGCUGUACCAGUAAGGUGCACUCUUAUUUAUCCUUUUGUGUAACAUAGUGCAGAUUUUAUUUAUUGCUUCAAUAAUAUAUUUUUGUCUCUGAGUUUGUGAUAAGAAAUGUAACCUCUUCCUAGUCCAAAGGCUUGGGGUUGGUAACCACACCUGUAAUCAGUUAACAAGACGAGAACAAAUAUGAAGACUGUUUGGUCUCUUGAAUCAUUGUGACGCAUCUCAGCUUUUUUAAUUGGAGUCAAUGGGAAAAAUGGUUUUGCAUUAUAUAUAUAUAUAUAUA
Homarus americanus (American lobster) is the source of this 2476-nucleotide RNA transcript. It is a transcript of the gene named probable nuclear transport factor 2, with no coding region annotated. The transcript has 5 exons. The record is from RefSeq and is a predicted model, not a curated record. Lineage: Eukaryota; Metazoa; Arthropoda; Malacostraca; Decapoda; Nephropidae.